CCGAGUUCAUGCCCUUACGGGUAGACCUCCCACCCUAUGUUAUAUUACCUUUGUUGCUUUGGCGGGCCGCCCGGCUUCGGCCAGGCUACCGGCUCCAGCUGGUAAGCGCUCGCCAGAGGACCCCAAACUCUGAAUGUUAGUGUCGUCUGAGUACUAUAUAAUAGUUA
Molecule: unclassified non-coding RNA, 167 nt
Filed under: uncultured Helotiales
Lineage: Eukaryota; Fungi; Ascomycota; Leotiomycetes; Helotiales
Description: sequence contains ITS1
Source: RNAcentral